This is a long non-coding RNA of Leopardus geoffroyi (Geoffroy's cat), 1628 nucleotides long. RefSeq lists it as uncharacterized. NCBI's taxonomy places the organism in Eukaryota, Metazoa, Chordata, Mammalia, Carnivora, Felidae. The transcript is spliced from 2 exons. The record is from RefSeq and is a predicted model, not a curated record.
UGCCUCCCUUCUUAAAACGACUUCGGUUUUAUAAUUCUUCGUAUUCCUAUCCAGGAGGGUUCUCCCCCUUGAGGCUUUCUUAAUCGUCCUCACCCGACGAGCUUAACAAUUCAUUCUAAGGUUUCCCCAGAUCUUGGGAACAGGUGCGGAGCUGGGAAAGGCGCGGCUGCUUUGGUGAGUGGUGUGGACGGUGGAAGCCCGUGUCCGGGCGGCCCCUUCCUCCUACCAGCCCAAGCCCUUGCCCUUGGGGCCUCCGCUAACUGCUUCUCUAUGACGGGUGGUGGUUUGGGAACGGGGGUGAAAAUCUGCCCCGACUGGCUAGUCUUGCCGAGUCGGUGUCUUCUGCUACGGAAAGGUCUAGAAUCCAGCUGGACACACUAGCAUCCUACUGGCUGGCCCCAGAUGUCCGAUCCUAAGAGGGUCACGGGGUCCCAGCCACCCACCCCGCCUGACAGUGGAGGUACGGAGCUGAGGUCCCCCAGCCACCCCCCGCAGUGUGGCCCAGCUUGAGACCAGGAGCCCGGGUUGGAACAAGGCCUGCCUCCUCAGUGGCUGCGUGCCCCCUGCUCUUGCUUUGCGCUCGAAGGUACCCAAUCUGGCCCGCUGAGUCUCCCUCUCGGCGGCGCGCUCCUAGAGGGCAGAGCUGGCGUCCCAGGCGUGCGUGUCCCCAGCACCCAGCCCCGGGGGGCUGACAGGAAAGCCGCCUGGGGAGACAUUCAGUGGUUGACCAGAAGGACAGCACGACAGACAACAGCUGGGAGUCUUGGGUCCACAUCACCCAGGCCACCUGCCAAGGAAAACUGGAACCUCCAGCCAGCCCCACACCCACUUGUCCUGUUUCCUUUCUUUACAAAACAGGAUCACACCGUACAUACUCAUUAGCCUGGUUUUGUUUUGUUUUGUUUUCCCCUCACUUAACAUGGGAUGAGAACUUGCCAACAUCGUGACGUUUUUUGAAAAUACGGUUGAUAAAUGAAUACUAUUCUGUCUCUGGAUUUGCCGCACUGGGCUCGCACCACCCCCUUCCUUUUGGGAGGCAACUCUCCUACAAUCGUCAUCGUCCAAUGGAAUUGCAGUAAGCAUCCUAGCAGCUGAACGUUUCCCAGGGAAGGUGGUCCUGUCGUCAUUACGCUCCUGUCGUGAGUGUCCUUUAGACCGACUGACAGGUCAUCGCUGCUGACAGGAGAGUCCGGUGGGGUUUUUAUUGGGCCACCUCACGGAGCACGGGGUAGCCUGUGCGGCUUUUCAAGUGACCCCUUCGGGGUUUCACGGCGCCCAGCAGCAUCUCCAUUGAAUGGCGACUGUCUGCCUCCAGAACAGAUGCAGUGCGCCACCCAAGCUCCCGUCCGGGGCCGAAGCGCUCACUGACCCGGCGCUGGGGGCGUCGGUGGCCGACCCUCUCGGGCAGUUCUGCAGAUGAAGGCACCGUCUCACCGCGGCCCUGCUUCCUUCCCUGUGGCUGCAUACACGCAAGGGCUGGUCCACACGGGGUGACCCCAGAGCCCCCCGCGGACUGCCCGGCCUGGAGACCGUGACCACACCGGCUUCUCCCCGACCGGUCCUGCUCCCUUCCCUCCCCGCUGGCGUUGACCUGGAGACCGCUUCCCAGUAAACGUCUCGCAGGCGAA